GGGUCCAUAGCUCAAUGGUAGAGCAUUUGAUUGCAGAUCAAGAGGUCACCAGGUUGGGCCCU
Ipomoea nil (Japanese morning glory) is the source of this 62-nucleotide transfer RNA. It matches the Rfam family "tRNA". Rfam says of the family: Transfer RNA (tRNA) molecules are approximately 80 nucleotides in length. Their secondary structure includes four short double-helical elements and three loops (D, anti-codon, and T loops). NCBI's taxonomy places the organism in Eukaryota, Viridiplantae, Streptophyta, Magnoliopsida, Solanales, Convolvulaceae. The record is from Rfam.